This 483-nucleotide ribosomal RNA is filed under the name uncultured bacterium. RNAcentral's name for it is "partial 16S ribosomal RNA". It matches the Rfam family "Bacterial small subunit ribosomal RNA", at positions 28 to 523 of the family's 1533-position model. The record is from RNAcentral.
GACGAACGCUGGCGGCGUGCUUUACACAUGCAAGUCGAACGGUGAAGGUGGAGCUUGCUCCGCCGGAUCAGUGGCGAACGGGUGAGUAACACGUGGGCAACCUGCCCCUAACUUUGGGAUAACUACUCGAAAGAGUAGCUAAUACCGGAUACGAAGUCUGUAGGCAUCUACGGAUUUGGAAAGUUUUUCGGUUAGGGAUGGGCCCGCGGCCUAUCAGCUUGUUUGUGAGGUAGUGGCUCACCAAGGCGACGACGGGUAGCCGGCCUGAGAGGGCGACCGGCCACACUGGGACUGAGACACGGCCCAGACUCCUACGGGAGGCAGCAGUGGGGAGUAUUGCGCAAUGGGCGAAAGCCUGACGCAGCAACGCCGCGUGCGGGAUGAAGGCCUUCGGGUUGUAAACCGCUUUCAGCAGGGAAGAAGCGAAAGUGACGGUACCUGCAGAGGAAGCACCGGCUAACUACGUGCCAGCCGCCGCCGUAA